Molecule: ribosomal RNA, 1022 nt
Filed under: Bacillus amyloliquefaciens
Lineage: Bacteria; Bacillati; Bacillota; Bacilli; Caryophanales; Bacillaceae
Description: bacterial SSU rRNA
Rfam family: Bacterial small subunit ribosomal RNA
Source: RNAcentral
GCAAGUGCGGGUGCUAUACAUGCAGUCGAGCGGACAGAUGGGAGCUUGCUCCCUGAUGUUAGCGGCGGACGGGUGAGUAACACGUGGGUAACCUGCCUGUAAGACUGGGAUAACUCCGGGAAACCGGGGCUAAUACCGGAUGGUUGUCUGAACCGCAUGGUUCAGACAUAAAAGGUGGCUUCGGCUACCACUUACAGAUGGACCCGCGGCGCAUUAGCUAGUUGGUGAGGUAACGGCUCACCAAGGCGACGAUGCGUAGCCGACCUGAGAGGGUGAUCGGCCACACUGGGACUGAGACACGGCCCAGACUCCUACGGGAGGCAGCAGUAGGGAAUCUUCCGCAAUGGACGAAAGUCUGACGGAGCAACGCCGCGUGAGUGAUGAAGGUUUUCGGAUCGUAAAGCUCUGUUGUUAGGGAAGAACAAGUGCCGUUCAAAUAGGGCGGCACCUUGACGGUACCUAACCAGAAAGCCACGGCUAACUACGUGCCAGCAGCCGCGGUAAUACGUAGGUGGCAAGCGUUGUCCGGAAUUAUUGGGCGUAAAGGGCUCGCAGGCGGUUUCUUAAGUCUGAUGUGAAAGCCCCCGGCUCAACCGGGGAGGGUCAUUGGAAACUGGGGAACUUGAGUGCAGAAGAGGAGAGUGGAAUUCCACGUGUAGCGGUGAAAUGCGUAGAGAUGUGGAGGAACACCAGUGGCGAAGGCGACUCUCUGGUCUGUAACUGACGCUGAGGAGCGAAAGCGUGGGGAGCGAACAGGAUUAGAUACCCUGGUAGUCCACGCCGUAAACGAUGAGUGCUAAGUGUUAGGGGGUUUCCGCCCCUUAGUGCUGCAGCUAACGCAUUAAGCACUCCGCCUGGGGAGUACGGUCGCAAGACUGAAACUCAAAGGAAUUGACGGGGGCCCGCACAAGCGGUGGAGCAUGUGGUUUAAUUCGAAGCAACGCGAAGAACCUUACCAGGUCUUGACAUCCUCUGACAAUCCUAGAGAUAGGACGUCCUCCUUCGGGGGCAGAGUGACAGUG